Molecule: ribosomal RNA, 369 nt
Filed under: uncultured bacterium
Lineage: Bacteria
Description: bacterial SSU rRNA
Rfam family: Bacterial small subunit ribosomal RNA
Source: RNAcentral
GUAGGGUGCGAGCGUUAAUCGGAAUUACUGGGCGUAAAGGGUGCGCAGGCGGUUCGCUAAGACAGGCGUGAAAGCCCCGGGCUUAACCUGGGAGGUGCGCUGGUGACUGGCUAACUAGAGUGCGGCAGAGGGGGGUGGAAUUCCACGUGUAGCAGUGAAAUGCGUAGGGAUGUGGAGGAACACCGAUGGCGAAGGCAGCCCCCUGGGCUAGCACUGACGCUCAGGCACGAAAGCGUGGGGAGCAAACAGGAUUAGAUACCCUGGUAGUCCACGCCCUAAACGAUGUCAACUGGUUGUCGGGGGGGUUACUCCUUGGUAACGAAGCUAACGCGUGAAGUUGACCGCCUGGGGAGUACAGCCGCAAGGUUG